Molecule: transfer RNA, 86 nt
Filed under: Clostridiales bacterium
Lineage: Bacteria; Bacillati; Bacillota; Clostridia; Eubacteriales
Description: tRNA-Ser
Rfam family: tRNA
About the family: Transfer RNA (tRNA) molecules are approximately 80 nucleotides in length. Their secondary structure includes four short double-helical elements and three loops (D, anti-codon, and T loops).
Source: RNAcentral
GGAGGAUUAGCGAAGCGGUCAUAACGCGGUGGUCUUGAAAACCAUUUGACCUCACGGUCACGGGGGUUCGAAUCCCUCAUCCUCCG